RNAcentral lists this transfer RNA (60 nucleotides) under Dimorphostylis asiatica. RNAcentral describes it as "tRNA-Cys". Lineage: Eukaryota; Metazoa; Arthropoda; Malacostraca; Cumacea; Diastylidae. The record is from RNAcentral.
GGUUCUAUGGUGUAAGAAACAUAUUAAGUUGCAGGCUUGAAGUUGAGUUUUCUAGAAUUU